RNAcentral lists this ribosomal RNA (627 nucleotides) under uncultured bacterium. Its description in RNAcentral is "bacterial SSU rRNA". It matches the Rfam family "Bacterial small subunit ribosomal RNA", at positions 215 to 842 of the family's 1533-position model. The record is from RNAcentral.
CCGGUAGACGAUGGGGAUGCGUUCCAUUAGAUAGUAGGCGGGGUAACGGCCCACCUAGUCUUCGAUGGAUAGGGGUUCUGAGAGGAAGGUCCCCCACAUUGGAACUGAGACACGGUCCAAACUCCUACGGGAGGCAGCAGUGAGGAAUAUUGGUCAAUGGGCGAGAGCCUGAACCAGCCAAGUAGCGUGAAGGAUGACUGCCCUAUGGGUUGUAAACUUCUUUUAUAAAGGAAUAAAGUCGGGUAUGCAUACCCGUUUGCAUGUACUUUAUGAAUAAGGAUCGGCUAACUCCGUGCCAGCAGCCGCGGUAAUACGGAGGAUCCGAGCGUUAUCCGGAUUUAUUGGGUUUAAAGGGAGCGUAGGUGGAUUGUUAAGUCAGUUGUGAAAGUUUGCGGCUCAACCGUAAAAUUGCAGUUGAUACUGGAUAUCUUGAGUGCAGUUGAGGCAGGCGGAAUUCGUGGUGUAGCGGUGAAAUGCUUAGAUAUCACGAAGAACUCCGAUUGCGAAGGCAGCCUGCUAAGCUGCAACUGACAUUGAGGCUCGAAAGUGUGGGUAUCAAACAGGAUUAGAUACCCUGGUAGUCCACACGGUAAACGAUGAAUACUCGCUGUUUGCGAUAUACUGCAA